AGUGAACGCUGGCGGUAGGCCUAACACAUGCAAGUCGAACGGCAGCACAGUAAGAGCUUGCUCUUACGGGUGGCGAGUGGCGGACGGGUGAGGAAUACAUCGGAAUCUACUUUUUCGUGGGGGAUAACGUAGGGAAACUUACGCUAAUACCGCAUACGACCUACGGGUGAAAGCAGGGGAUCUUCGGACCUUGCGCGAUUGAAUGAGCCGAUGUCGGAUUAGCUAGUUGGCGGGGUAAAGGCCCACCAAGGCGACGAUCCGUAGCUGGUCUGAGAGGAUGAAUCAGCCCACUUGAACUGAAACACCGGUCCGACUCCCUACGGAAGCAAGCAGUGGGGAUUAUGGGACAAUGGGGGAAAGCCGGUCCCAGCAUAACGGCUUGGGGAAAGAGGGCCUUCGGUUGGAAAAGCCCUUUUGUUGGGAAAAAAAGGCAGCAGGUUAAAACCCCGCUGUUCUGCCGGAACCAAAGGAAAAACCACCGGCAAACUUCGG
Molecule: ribosomal RNA, 492 nt
Filed under: uncultured bacterium
Lineage: Bacteria
Description: partial 16S ribosomal RNA
Rfam family: Bacterial small subunit ribosomal RNA
Source: RNAcentral